CCAGCAUAAACGCACAACUGCCUACCAUCC
RNAcentral lists this small RNA (30 nucleotides) under Bombyx mori (domestic silkworm). Its description in RNAcentral is "ovarian small RNA-13568". Lineage: Eukaryota; Metazoa; Arthropoda; Insecta; Lepidoptera; Bombycidae. The record is from RNAcentral.